Long non-coding RNA from Dicentrarchus labrax (European seabass), 1751 nucleotides. RefSeq lists it as uncharacterized. Lineage: Eukaryota; Metazoa; Chordata; Actinopteri; Moronidae. The transcript is spliced from 2 exons. The record is from RefSeq and is a predicted model, not a curated record.
ACACACACACCUGCACUGUACUUCCUUUCCUGUUAACCAAUCAAGUUAAAAGCGAAGCAAGCAACCACAGCUAAGGAUUCCCAGGGGUUAUACCAGUAUUUGGAGAGAGACAGAGAGAGAGAGAGACACACACACACACACACACACACACACACACACACACACACACACACACACACACACACACAGACAGAUCGAGCGAGAGUGCGAGAGAGAGUCCUUGUGAUUGAAGUAUCUUUGGGAUAAAACUUAAGAGUGAAUCAAUCUUCUGGCUGAUCCUGCAGAUGAGACUGCAACUGAGGAGGGUGUUGAGGGCUUCUGCUAAAGAAACUGACUGAGACGACUCGGAUGUAAUAUUAUCUCCUGACUAAUGACACAGAGAAAAGGAGGCAAAAGAGAGUGGGCAACUGAUGCUGAGAAAGAGAUGGAGAGAGGGAGAGUGAAACAUGAAGGAGGGAAACAGGGGCACCUUGGUGUUAAGGUAGGUGUGUGAUUAGUCAUUCCCAGUCAGAGCGAUGCUUUACAGCUCUGCAAGGUAAGUUGCUCUGUGUGUGCGUGAGUGUGUUUGUGUGUGUAUGUGGCCACAUUUCUUAGAUAUGUGACACAUCAUAACAGUGAAACACAGUGGUUGUCAAGUCAUGGCAGUGAAAGAGCUUAUGUAAACAAAAUGAUUCAACCAACUGUGUCUACGGAUCACUUGUAGGAACGACAACUACCAGGUGAAUAUGGUGUGUAAGAGCAGCCAUUACACUGUGAAAUAGUCUUGACUUUUAGAGAGAAAUGCAGAGCCUACCCAUGUGUGUAUGUGCUUGUUUAUUUGUGUGUGUGUGUGUGUGUGUGUGUGUGUGUGUGUGUGUGUGUGUGUGCAGGUGACCUGCUGUCAUCCAAUGCAGCCCCUGUCAAAUGUGAUAUGUCUCCGCUCCACUGUGAGACCUGCUUCAGCUUUGAUUCAUUGUUCAAAUAGCAUUGCCAUCUAUUAUGAUUUGAUAUGGAUCUCUCCUCCAGAGGGGGAGAGAUGGCUCAACACACUCGACUGACUUCUGAUGAAAAGUACAGAUAGUGGCCAUCACUCUGCUGCAAACAAACAAACACAACACCCACAUACACACACACCUGCACACACACUUUGUGUUACCGUAGGUCACUUCAUGUGGACUUUUUUACAGGGGUAAAUGACAGGACUCCUCUUGAACUUUCAGUCUAUAACACUGACUCAGCUAAACGUUAAUACCAAAGACAUGUCAUCUAACCUGUGGUUUAUUCUCUCUCUCUCUCUCUCUCUCUCUCUCUCUCUCUCUCUCUCUCUCUCUCUCUCCCUCUCUCUCAUAAGAUGGAUUAGUUGGCUAUGCUAAUCUAUCUGCUGACUCCAAACAGUAUGUAGACAAGUGUGUGUGCAUAAGCAUAGGCAUGCACCUGUGAAAAAGUGUUUCUAUUUGCAUGCACAUGCACAUACACUACUCCAUGGUGUCAGUAUUUGCACACUCACUCUGCAUUUUACAAGUCGCCGCUAGAGAGUUACCGACUGAACUCACCAACGACAUGAGCUUGUACAGACAAUUUUAUCGCACCAUGAGAGAACUUAAAUGAGAGUAAUUUGUCAUUAAAAGGUAAAUGCUUUUCUGUUACUUAUUUUUAUGGGCUUGCUCAGUUUAACCUUUGAGAACACUAAAACUACAGACUGAAUAAACCUGAACAAUAAGACAUUAAAUGUUAAACUGCUGCUAUAAUAAAUCACAGCAAAAGAUGGACAA